This 422-nucleotide non-coding RNA is filed under the name unclassified sequences. RNAcentral describes it as "Giant, ornate, lake- and Lactobacillales-derived (GOLLD) RNA". It matches the Rfam family "Giant, ornate, lake- and Lactobacillales-derived (GOLLD) RNA". The record is from Rfam by way of RNAcentral.
GGAGAUUGUUUACAGUAUUCUUGUCUGAAAGGAUGAGAGCUGUAAUUUAAGAGCGCAAUCUUCACUUCGCCCCUUUUCUGCAUAAUCCUUGUUUAGCCAAAAGGCGUAGAUAACAAGUUCAUUAACAAGAAAAGCAAAGAGUCUCUUAACGGUUAAGAGCAUAGGGCACUUUACCUCUGAAACAAUGAGGUGCAUUAAACCCGCAAGGUUUGGUGUUCAUGAUGAAAGGUCAGGUUGGUUCGUACCCAUUAGACGGUCGGCAGACUUGUACUGAACUGAGUAAUUGUGUAGAUAACUUAACCGAUAAGACUGAUGAGCUAUACUCAUUGUGCCUGAUACUGUACUAAUCGCAAGAUUGGUGGACAAAAGAGGGAAUAGAUAAUCCUCUCAAAGUGGUAUCGCAAAGCCUGUAGUCUCAAGGC